GGCCAAGAGGGAUGAUUUGAGAGCUACCUAAUUUGAGGGUCGUAGGGGUUCUGCUGGAGCUACAUUUUUUUUUUUGUCUAAGUCCUGAAAUUUUAGUUUGGGGGCAGAUUAAAUAGGGUGGGUCCCUGCUAAAGAUGCUCUAAGAGGGACAAAUCACAUAGCGAGUCAUACAUCACUUGGAGGAAGGUUUUUAGACAUUCUCUCGUCCACGCAUGUGCUAGGGGG
RNAcentral lists this long non-coding RNA (225 nucleotides) under Sorghum bicolor (sorghum). RNAcentral's name for it is "long non-coding RNA (SBIC_LNC015653)". Lineage: Eukaryota; Viridiplantae; Streptophyta; Magnoliopsida; Poales; Poaceae. The record is from RNAcentral.